CCUACGGGUGGCUGCAGUCGAGAAUUAUUGACAAUGGGCGCAACCCUGAUGGUGCGACGCCGCGUGGAGGAAUGAAGGUCUACGGAUUGUAAACCCCUGUCAUGUGGGAGCAAAUUAAAAAGAUAGUACCACAAGAGGAAUAGACGACUAACUAGGUGCCAGCAGCCGCGGUAAUACAGAGGUGUCAAGAGUGGUUCGGAAUCACUGGGCGUAAAGCGUGCGGAGGCUGGUUCGUAAGUGGGGUGUGAAAGGUGCGGGCUCAACCCGCGGACGGCAAAUGAUACUGCGAGACUGGAGUAGUGGAGGGGGAAGCGGAAUUCGUGGUGUAGCAGUGAAAUGCGUAGAUAUCGAGAGGAACACUCGAGGCGAAGGCAGGUUCCUGGACAUUAACUGACGCUGAGGCACGAAGGCCAGGGUAGCGAAAGGGAUUAGAUACCCGUGUAGUC
RNAcentral lists this ribosomal RNA (446 nucleotides) under uncultured bacterium. RNAcentral describes it as "partial 16S ribosomal RNA". It matches the Rfam family "Bacterial small subunit ribosomal RNA", at positions 338 to 795 of the family's 1533-position model. The record is from RNAcentral.